RNAcentral lists this ribosomal RNA (253 nucleotides) under uncultured bacterium. RNAcentral's name for it is "partial 16S ribosomal RNA". It matches the Rfam family "Bacterial small subunit ribosomal RNA", at positions 524 to 776 of the family's 1533-position model. The record is from RNAcentral.
UACGGAGGGUGCAAGCGUUAUCCGGAAUCACUGGGUUUAAAGGGUGCGUAGGCGGCUAGAUAAGUGAGAGGUGAAAGUUUGUCGCUUAACGAUGGAACUGCUUUUGAUACUGUUAAUCUUGAAAGUAGGUGAGGUAAGCGGAAUGUGACAUGUAGCGGUGAAAUGCAUAGAUAUGUCAUGGAACACCGAUUGCGAAGGCAGCCUUCUAACCUGACUCUGACGCUGAGGCACGAAAGCGUGGGUAGAAAACAGG